GGGGAAUAUUGCACAAUGGGCGAAAGCCUGAUGCAGCGACGCCGCGUGAGGGAUGGAGGCCUUCGGGUUGUAUACCUCUUUCGCUCAUGGUCAAGCCGCAACGAUGGUUGUGGUGAGGGUAGUGGGUAAAGAAGCGCCGGCUAACUACGUGCCAGCAGCCGCGGUAAUACGUAGGGCGCGAGCGUUGUCCGGAAUUAUUGGGCGUAAAGGGCUUGUAGGCGGUUGGUCGCGUCUGCCGUGAAAUUCUCUGGCUUAACUGGGGGCGUGCGGUGGGUACGGGCUGACUUGAGUGCGGUAGGGGAGACUGGAACUCCUGGUGUAGCGGUGGAAUGCGCAGAUAUCAGGAAGAACACCGGUGGCGAAGGCGGGUCUCUGGGCCGUUACUGACGCUGAGGAGCGAAAGCGUGGGGAGCGAACAGGAUUAGAUACCCUGGUAGUCCACGCUGUAAACGUUGGGCACUAGGUGUGGGGGCCACCCGUGGUUUCUGCGCCGUAGCUAACGCUUUAAGUGCCCCGCCUGGGGAGUACGGCCGCAAGGCUA
Molecule: ribosomal RNA, 541 nt
Filed under: uncultured bacterium
Lineage: Bacteria
Description: bacterial SSU rRNA
Rfam family: Bacterial small subunit ribosomal RNA
Source: RNAcentral